CGGGUGAGUAACACGUGGAUAACCUACCUAUAAGACUGGGAUAACUUCGGGAAACCGGAGCUAAUACCGGAUAAUAUUUUGAACCGCAUGGUUCAAAAGUGAAAGACGGUCUUGCUGUCACUUAUAGAUGGAUCCGCGCUGCAUUAGCUAGUUGGUAAGGUAACGGCUUACCAAGGCAACGAUGCAUUGCCGACCUGAGAGGGUGAUCGGCCACACUGGAACUGAGACACGGUCCAG
This 237-nucleotide ribosomal RNA is filed under the name uncultured Staphylococcus sp. RNAcentral describes it as "partial 16S ribosomal RNA". It matches the Rfam family "Bacterial small subunit ribosomal RNA", at positions 103 to 334 of the family's 1533-position model. The record is from RNAcentral. Lineage: Bacteria; Bacillati; Bacillota; Bacilli; Caryophanales; Staphylococcaceae.